Molecule: ribosomal RNA, 465 nt
Filed under: uncultured bacterium
Lineage: Bacteria
Description: bacterial SSU rRNA
Rfam family: Bacterial small subunit ribosomal RNA
Source: RNAcentral
CCAGACUCCUACGGGAGGCAGCAGUGAGGAAUAUUGGUCAAUGGUCGGGAGACUGAACCAGCCAAGCCGCGUGAGGGAUGAAGGUACAGAGUAUCGUAAACCUCUUUUGUCAGGGAACAAAGGCGGGGACGUGUCCCCGGAUGAGUGUACCUGAAGAAAAAGCAUCGGCUAACUCCGUGCCAGCAGCCGCGGUAAUACGGAGGAUGCGAGCGUUAUCCGGAUUUAUUGGGUUUAAAGGGGGCGCAGGCGGUGUGUUAGGUGCGGGGAAAACGCGGGGGGCCCACCCCCGGCCCGCCGUUGAAACUGGCAGUCUCGAGUUGGAGAGAAGUAUGCGGAAUGCGCGGUGUAGCGGUGAAAUGCAUAGAUAUCACGCAGAACUCCGAUUGCGAAGGCAGCGUACCGGCGCCCAACUGACGCUGAAGCACGAAGGCGUGGGUAUCGAACAGGAUUAGAUACCCUUGUAUA